UACGUAGGGCGCGAGCGUUGUCCGGAAUUACUGGGCGUAAAGAGCUCGUAGGUGGUUUGUCGCGUCGUUCGUGAAAACUCACAGCUCAACUGUGGGCGUGCGGGCGAUACGGGCAGACUGGAGUACUGCAGGGGAGACUGGAAUUCCUGGUGUAGCGGUGGAAUGCGCAGAUAUCAGGAGGAACACCGGUGGCGAAGGCGGGUCUCUGGGCAGUAACUGACGCUGAGGAGCGAAAGCGUGGGGAGCGAACAGG
Molecule: ribosomal RNA, 253 nt
Filed under: uncultured bacterium
Lineage: Bacteria
Description: partial 16S ribosomal RNA
Rfam family: Bacterial small subunit ribosomal RNA
Source: RNAcentral